UAAUCUCCUGGAGAUGUCGCUUGAUAUGU
This 29-nucleotide non-coding RNA is filed under the name Rattus norvegicus (Norway rat). Lineage: Eukaryota; Metazoa; Chordata; Mammalia; Rodentia; Muridae. The record is from RNAcentral.